GAGGUUAUAGCUCAGUGGUAGAGUGCAUGCUUAGCAUGCACGAGGUCCUGGGUUCAAUCUCCAGUACCUCCA
RNAcentral lists this transfer RNA (72 nucleotides) under Camelus bactrianus (Bactrian camel). It matches the Rfam family "tRNA". From Rfam's summary of the family: Transfer RNA (tRNA) molecules are approximately 80 nucleotides in length. Lineage: Eukaryota; Metazoa; Chordata; Mammalia; Artiodactyla; Camelidae. RNAcentral also lists the same sequence under 1 other name. The record is from Rfam by way of RNAcentral.